Molecule: long non-coding RNA, 3523 nt
Organism: Cavia porcellus (domestic guinea pig)
Lineage: Eukaryota; Metazoa; Chordata; Mammalia; Rodentia; Caviidae
Exons: 2
Source: RefSeq, a predicted model, not a curated record
CCCGUACCCGCCGCCAGCUACCGCACAAAACCUCGCGAUAAUGAGCUGGGGUUCCGCCCCUUCCCCUUCCUUCUCCCGGGUACUGGUGUCCGCAGGCGCAGUGGAGGCUUCCGCGUCUGAAGUUCAGAAAGACCCAGAGGAUGAGGCUGCACUUUUCCCUUUUCUCCGACAGCCGUAAGGGGGCGAUACCCUAAUGGCAGCUAUCACACCUCCUUUCCCGUCUAGUGCUGUCAAGGUGGUCUGGGACAGAGUCGCAGGAUCUUCCCAGCACCCCGGGGUGACUGCUGCGAUGCCCACCCACCAUCAGCCACAGCACAUUCCAGCAAUGCAGGAGCUGUCGAGCAAAAAAAAAAAAAAAAAAAAGGUGCUUCUUCCAAGUGUCGGAGGAUGGUUGCCAAGACACCUGCGGCUGUCCCAGACUCGUUCCAGGACACAUCUGCCCUGGCCUCAGAAGGCUUAAAAUUUGGGCCAAACCCAGAGGACUUUUCCCGUCAUUACUGUGUAAGUUCUCAAGCAGGGCCAUAAAGUGCACAAAGUACAGGCUUAAGGAGCAGCACAGGUUCCAAAAAACCAUCGGGUGGGGGUUCCGUUCAUCUACUUGUGCUUCUUGGGUAGUAUGGGCCAGGAGUAACAUCAGGGACUAACUGGAUUCUGAAGAUCAGCAAUAUGUGAGAGAGCUGGAGAGGCAGCAGAGGCUGCUCGGAAGAGCUCCAGAAAGCUACAAAGAGAGAUCUGAGCCUUGACUGAUGCCAGUCUGAAGGAAGCCAAGCAGAGACACUCCUACGUGGCUUGUGCCUGGCUGUCCUCCCAAAGCCUCAAAUGUUCACAGGUGUGGAGUUAUAAAGGGUUAGUGUUUAGGGUGUGUGAAUAUGGAUUAAGGGUGUGGUACUGGGAUUAAUGUUAUAGAUAAUGGAAAGCCUCAUCGUGGUAUAGGUGGCACCAAUCAACAGCUAGGUGGAAUGUAAAGAGACAGAAAGAAGGUAGGCUUGCUGCUGCAUGUUGCUUUGCUGCCUUCUGCCUGCCACACCAUGAAUUCUUUCUCUGUGAUACCUUUCUGCUAUGCUGCCCUGCCUUGGAGUUAGCCAACUAUGGACUGAAACCUCCACAACAACGAACUGAAACAAACUCUUAUUCCUUUAACUCGUGGGUGUUUGAUAUUUUGACCUAGCAAAGAGAAAAGAAACACACAGCGGUGAACCUGGUUUUUAAGUAUCUUUAAAAAAAAAAAAAAAAAAGUUUCGGGGUUGGGGAUUUAGCUCAGCGGCAUAAACGCCUGCCUUGCAAGCAGGCAGUCAUGAGUUCGAUCCCUGGUACCGAUAAAAACGAAAAAGACAAAAACAGAAAAAAGUUUCAGAGCCAGAUGUGGUGGCACAUCCCUGUAAUCCCAGCACUCAGGAGGCUAAAACAGGUGGGCUGUGGUAAGUUCAAGUCACCCUGAACUAGAGUGAGACCUUGUCUCUAAAAGGUGUGUGUGUGGGGGGAGACACGACAACAAACAUUAUCUGCAUUUCCGAAACUUCUUCCAUUAAUAAGAUUCUCACUGAAGCACUCUUGGACCAAGUGGAUUUAUUAAUUCAAUCAAAAUACAUCAAAAUAAUCAAAUGGAGAAUUCCUGUUCCCUCUUCACAUUAAGCCCACCAUGAGCAAAACUCUGAUACUUCUUGUAGUCCCUUCCUGUCCCACCAUGAAGCAUGUCUUCUGUCUACACCACCUUCUGCAGCUAAGUCAGCCUCUUGACCAACGUUAAAGAUCUCUCAUGGCCCCUCAUAAUGACACAACCCCAAUUCUCUGCCCUCCACUGUCCUCUCUGAAGCCCACCCAGGUUCUGCUGAAACAGGAACCAGGGAUCUGGCACAUGAUAGGAACUCAUGUACACUAUUUGUUGGAUACCUAUUUACUGCUAAAUGGAACCAGUAAAGUGUCGUUUGCCCUCCAAGAAAUAGCCACCACUGUAGCAACUUUGAAAGACUCUUGUAAUUCUUUAUUUCCUGUUAUUGCAAAUAAAGUUCUGAAAAAUUUCACAAAAUGACAGUAUUAGAAAUCACCUAUGUAAGAUUAAAUGACAAGAGUAUUAGAAAUCACCUACAUAAAACUAAAUUCUUUAAAGAAAACCAGAACAUUAAUUUCAAGAUAUAACAACAUGUACUUGGAGCUUAUGAUUUUACAUACUUCCUACAUACUACUCAGCCUGUUCAAAUAUUGUUUUAUAUUUGUUCAGAACUUUUACAUUCCUAACCUGCAGCCUUGUGAUGGGUAUGCCUGGGGCCACAAUAUGAGGAACUGUCUUGGGAUUCAUAUAAAAUAUAUAAUUAAUAUAUAUAAAUAACAAAGCUUCCUUUAUUUCUAAACUUUUGGGGCAGGGCAUUGUCAUACUAAGUAGUUCAGGGCCUACAGAGAGUGUCUCUGUGGAGAGCCACGGAAGCUAGAAAUUGAUCACACAUGCAAGGCUGGGGCAUGGCUAUCCUAAGAACAAACUGCACUGGGGCGAGCCACGUGAAGAAGCUGCUUAAGCCUAGAAAAACAUCAAGCCCCUAUAUAACCCAAACAAUGGGUUGCUAAGCAAAGGGGUACCACAUGACAUUGUGUUGCUAAAUGUAUAAACGUCCCUACAGUGAGGGGGCAGUUCCUUUCUGCCUAUCUGGAGAGUAAGGGCUCCACCUGACUCCAGCUUUUGUCUCUUAUUUUCUCAUCCUCUUACAGUCCUUCACCCAAGUGACCUCAAGAGCAGGGCAGGUCACAGCAAUCCUGCUCCUGCCUCCUGAGUGCUGGGUUCCAGGUACAUGUCACCAUGGCUCCACUUUUUUUUUAAAGUUAUAACACAGGUGUGUUCAAUCAACAGGCCACAGGUAGGACAUAAAUACCUGUGUGAAGCCUUCCAAAUAUUAGGGUAAGUACAGUAAUUUUUUUUUGGAAACAGGUUCUCAUUACACUGUUCAGGCUGGCCUUCAGUCAUACCAGCCACCCCAGGCUGGUCUCAAACUUGCAAUGAUCCUCCUGCCUAAGCCUCUGGAGGGCUGGGAUUACAAGCAUGCAAUACCAUGCCUAGCUAGUAAUGUUAUUUUUGUCAGCAGUAUACUUUUGACCAUGGAUAGGUUCUAAAAAUGUGGUUUACUCCUCAGCCCCUAUCAAAGAAUAGAUGACAGUGACUUCAACUGGUGACCAUGACAGUUUCUUCUUUGAAGGUGAUGGCACAGCCACUUUACAAUGGGCUAGGACAACUUUAUUUUCUUUUUUAGAGCAGUACUGGGAUUUGAACCCUGGGCACCUUUCAAGGAAAUCACAUCACUGUCAGUUGCUGGAGAACUGGGUGGUAACAGAAAGAAUGUUUAGUGUACAAUGACACAUCACUUUCUUACAUUCUCAAGUGUGAACACAUGUUAACACUGUUGCUGAUCUGACUACUGCUUAGUUAGGUGUUAAAACACUGUCAAUUUAAUAAUGUCUCACUUUACCAGACUUACCAGAUACCUAAGAAACUAACAGGUGCUCAGUGUUGUCAGGCAAAUAAAUAUGAAAAAACUCA